GCAAUUGGAGGGCAAGUCUGGUGCCAGCAGCCGCGGUAAUUCCAGCUCCAAUAGCGUAUAUUAAAGUUGUUGCAGUUAAAAAGCUCGUAGUUGAAGUUCUGAUUGCUCAGGUUUCCAGCCUUAGGCGGAGAUACUGACAGUCAUCCGCUUGCAAACAUAUGUUCGAUCUUCACCGGUUGGCUAUGUGAGUAAGCACUUACCUUGAGAAAAACAGAGUGUUCCAGGCAGGUUUGUCCGGGGAUGCAUUAGCAUGGAAUAAUAGAACAUGACUGAAGUCGAUUUAUUGGUUUAAGGCUUUAGUAAUGAUUAAUAGGAACAGUCGGGGGCAUUCGUACUCAGCAGUCAGAGGUGAAAUUCUAAGAUUUGCUGAAGACGAACUAAUGCGAAAAGCAUUUGCCAAGGAUGUUUUCAUUAAUCAAGAACGAAAGUUAGGGGAU
Molecule: ribosomal RNA, 437 nt
Filed under: uncultured eukaryote
Lineage: Eukaryota
Description: SSU rRNA
Rfam family: Eukaryotic small subunit ribosomal RNA
Source: RNAcentral